GCAUAUCAAUAAGCGGAGGAAAAGAAACCAACAGGGAUUGCCCUAGUAACGGCGAGUGAAGCGGCAACAGCUCAAAUUUGAAAUCUGGCUCUCUUUGGGAGUCCGAGUUGUAAUUUGCAGAGGAUGCUUUGGCAUUGGCGGCGGUCUAAGUUCCUUGGAACAGGACAUCACAGAGGGUGAGAAUCCCGUACGUGGUCGCCUGCCCUUGCCGUGUAAAGCUCCUUCGACGAGUCGAGUUGUUUGGGAAUGCAGCUCUAAAUGGGAGGUAAAUUUCUUCUAAAGCUAAAUACUGGCCAGAGACCGAUAGCGCACAAGUAGAGUGAUCGAAAGAUGAAAAGUACUUUGGAAAGAGAGUCAAAAAGCACGUGAAAUUGUUGAAAGGGAAGCGCUUGCAGCCAGACUUGCCCGCAGUUGCUCACCCAGGCUUUUGCCUGGGGCACUCUUCUGCGGGCAGGCCAGCAUCAGUUUGGGCGGUUGGAUAAAGGCCUCUGUCACGUAUCUCCCUUCGGGGUGACCUUAUAGGGGAGGCGUAAUGCAACCAGCCCGGACUGAGGUCCGCGCAUCUGCUAGGAUGCUGGCGUAAUGGCUGUAAGCGGCCCGUCUUGAAACACGGACCAAGGAGUCUAACAUCUAUGCGAGUGUUUGGGUGUCAAGCCCGGGCGCGUAAUGAAAGUGAACGGAGGUGGGAACCCUUUGGGUGCACCAUCGACCGAUCCUGAUGUCUUCGGAUGGAUUUGAGUAAGAGCAUAGCUGUUGGGACCCGAAAGAUGGUGAACUAUGCUUGAAUAGGGUGAAGCCAGAGGAAACUCUGGUGGAGGCUCGCAGCGGUUCUGACGUGCAAAUCGAUCGUCAAAUUUGGGCAUAGGGGCGAAAGACUAAUCGAACCAUCUAGUAGCUGGUUCCUGCCGA
Molecule: ribosomal RNA, 909 nt
Filed under: Paraphaeosphaeria sp. CBS 101464
Lineage: Eukaryota; Fungi; Ascomycota; Dothideomycetes; Pleosporales; Didymosphaeriaceae
Description: eukaryotic LSU rRNA
Rfam family: Eukaryotic large subunit ribosomal RNA
Source: RNAcentral